CUCCAGUGCCUCGUGGUCUUUUUCUCCCGCUUUAGGUGGGAGAGGAUGGCUAGAGUGGGCUGGAGUUGGGUAAGUCCCUUCCCCAGGUGUCAGUUAUGCUCUGCUGAAAGCCCAACAGGUUAGGCUCUGGUUAACUAAUUUCCCCUGAGGCUAGGCCUUGUUAAGAAGCACAGAGUGCUCUGGCUUAUUUCAGAAUCGUUCCUUUUCACCUUCCCUACCAGAAGCCCAAGGGGAUUUUUCUCUGAUAUUUACCGCAGGAACCUGGUCGAGCUCCUAAACAGAUACAGUAAAUAUGGAAGCAGCUGAUUCAAAAGUACAGGGAUAGUAUCAGCAGGCCCCUCUUCUGGUACAUAACGUGUUCCUUAAGACGCUUGGAAAUUCAAACAAUAGAGAUCUCUGUAUAUGCUUCUGGGGAGAGGGAAGAGGUAUGGACAUCAAGAUUCCUGGAAAAUACUAUUGAUGUCUUUCUGUCAUGCAUCAUGGAAAUGCUGGAGACGAUUUGUCGGAUAAUUAAAAGAGAAACCUGUAAAGGCAAGAUUCCUGUGAGCGAGUUGGUGCUGCAACGUGCUGCUCUGAACUGUGCCACCCCUUGGGUCCUCACAGAUGCCCCCAGAUCGCUUGAAAUGUCUAAAAAGACCUCGGAACAUUAGAAAAUGUCAAUUGUUAGAAUAAUUUCUGCCUCUUACAACAAGAGAAAAUACUAUGGAUUUAAUAGUUCAUUUUUAAAAUGUUUUUAUCCACCAGUAACUGUCUAUUAGGAACAUUUCAGUUAUAAU
This 776-nucleotide long non-coding RNA is filed under the name Equus asinus (donkey). RNAcentral describes it as "lncRNA (ENSEASG00005037480.1)". The record is from RNAcentral. Lineage: Eukaryota; Metazoa; Chordata; Mammalia; Perissodactyla; Equidae.